CUUUCCUUUGUUUUUGUUCUAUCUGGGCUCCUAGCCUAUUGCUCACCCACAAUGAGACAGGAUCUCCCUACUGCAUCCAUUGACUCACAUGCCAAUCUAUACUCCCAAAUAAUGCUGUAUUAGUUCUCUUGGUAUUCCUUAACUCAGUGAAGGAGACACCUAGAAUUAAUUAACACAGCACUGAUUUUCCCAGGACUAAGCCAUUUCCAAGGACUUUUGGAGCUAAAGUCAAGUCACUCCAGGCUGAGUCAGCUGGUCCUUCUGCUCAGCUCCACUCUUGAUCACCUCAACUCCAACAGACAUUGAGGGUCUUCCCAGUUUUCGGGCAUCUUCUUGUAAGGGUGCAAGCAAAGUAAGUACCUGUGGCCAAAGAAUGGAAAGUCAUGAGUUCCUGGGCAAGAAGUCAUCUACCAUAGAUAAGCUCUGUGGUUUAAUUCUCCCUCGUUUCAAAGGCAAGAGAUCGCAACACUGACAGAGGCAGGAAAGCACUGUGGGAAGGGAAGGAGCGUCAGACUCUGGGACGCCCUUUACAGCAACAAAAUCCCUGAAGUCUAGGUAGGCAUGUGGCUGCUGAAAAUAAAAAGUACAUUUCCCAGAAUCCCAUUUGAUUCCAUUCUGGCCAAUCAAUUGGGCAUAAGCCAAAGUUGUGGAAGCAAGUUCCAGGAAGUGUCCUUAAAGAAGAAGGAUAAAAUACUUGAGGCUGAAGAAGGUAUGAUUCACCUCGGUCAUGGAACAAAGGCACAGUGAGACUACAAUCAGAUGUGUUCUGCCUGUUCAGUCAGCCACCUGAAGCUGACCCCCGGAGGUGGAGCGUUAGCAGAUGGUCUCCAAAGGCAUUUUCUGGUAAAAGACAAGCUAUGGUCCUCCACCGCAAGCUUGUUUCCAAGUCUCAGGGAUGUUCUCAGGUCCAUUAAUAAUACUCUCUUUUUUUGGUAAUAAAUUUGUAAAUUAAUACAAUAAA
Heterocephalus glaber (naked mole-rat) is the source of this 961-nucleotide long non-coding RNA. RefSeq lists it as uncharacterized. NCBI's taxonomy places the organism in Eukaryota, Metazoa, Chordata, Mammalia, Rodentia, Bathyergidae. The record is from RefSeq and is a predicted model, not a curated record.